UACGUAGGGUGCAAGCGUUGUCCGGAAUUAUUGGGCGUAAAGAGCUCGUAGGCGGUUUGUCGCGUCUGCUGUGAAAACUUGGGGCUUAACUCCAAGCUUGCGGUCGAUACGGGCAGACUUGAGUUCGGCAGGGGAGACUGGAAUUCCUGGUGUAGCGGUGAAAUGCGCAGAUAUCAGGAGGAACACCGGUGGCGAAGGCGGGUCUCUGGGCCGACACUGACGCUGAGGAGCGAAAGCCAGGGGAGCAAACGGG
Molecule: ribosomal RNA, 253 nt
Filed under: uncultured bacterium
Lineage: Bacteria
Description: partial 16S ribosomal RNA
Rfam family: Bacterial small subunit ribosomal RNA
Source: RNAcentral